Long non-coding RNA from Chinchilla lanigera (long-tailed chinchilla), 613 nucleotides. RefSeq lists it as uncharacterized. Lineage: Eukaryota; Metazoa; Chordata; Mammalia; Rodentia; Chinchillidae. The transcript is spliced from 2 exons. The record is from RefSeq and is a predicted model, not a curated record.
CAAGAGAAAACCAAGUCAGAUAAAUUUGUCACUGCAAAUAAAAAAUACAUGUAAUCAUUCCAUUAAACAUUUACUGAUUUUGUUCCAAGUAUCAUUUUAGGAGCUGGGGUUGCAAUUCUAAAGCAGAUACAAGAAGCCUGUUCCUGAAGAGUUCAGGCUUUUUAGUAACAGACAACCAAGUCAUUUCAAGACAAGAUGUGAACCCCAGAACAGUGGUAGGCACUAAAGCCUCUGUGAGACAUGAUCAUCUGGAGGAAUGGUAUCCGAAAGAAUGGCCCAAGAUGGAUGUUCCAGAAAGAGGAAGCUGCAUAAGCAAAGGCAUGGAGCUAUAACAGACAACAGCGUGCUCUGGAAAACUCAGAACACGAACUCAACGUUUCAGACAUCUGGAAGGCUGGGAGUUUCUUUCCCCUGUAUCAUUUGGAGGUUUUCCACCAAGAUAGCUGGAUGGAGGUAAGAGUUUGCUUUUGUUUUAUAGAUUCUAGAUUGUGACUUGCUUAAGUAAUCAAAAUUUUUAUGCUUCAAAUUCUUAUGUCUUUGCCCAUUGCUUAUAAUUGCCCAUCCUUUGUCUCUAAAUUUGUUAAAAUAAUAAUAAAUUUAAGUUAAAAACAUG